RNAcentral lists this ribosomal RNA (1622 nucleotides) under metagenome. Its description in RNAcentral is "bacterial LSU rRNA". It matches the Rfam family "Bacterial large subunit ribosomal RNA", at positions 1323 to 2925 of the family's 2925-position model. The record is from RNAcentral.
AAAAAACCUCCCCGCCGGAAGAUCAAGGUUUCCUGUCCAACGCUAAUCGGGACAGGGUGAGUCGGCCCCUAAGGCGAGGCAGAAAUGCGUAGUCGAUGGGAAGCGGGUUAAUAUUCCUGCACUUCUUAUUAUUCGAUGGAGGGACGGAGUAGGCUAGGCCGGCAGGGCGUUGGUUGUCCCUGUUUAAGGUUGUAGGCUGGGAUCUUAGGUAAAUCCGGGGUCCUAAGGCUGAGAGCUGAUGACGAGUGUCACCGCAAGGUGACGCGAAGUGGUUGAUGCCAUGCUUCCAAGAAAAGCUUCUAAGCUUCAGAUAGUAAGGAACCGUACUGUAAACCGACACAGGUGAUCAGGUAGAGAAUACCAAGGCGCUUGAGAGAACUCGGGUGAAGGAACUAGGCAAAAUGGCACCGUAACUUCGGGAGAAGGUGCGCCGGCUGUGGUGAUGGGACUUGCUCCCUGAGCUGCGGCUGGUCGAAGUAACCAGGCCGCUGCGACUGUUUAUUAAAAACAUAGCACUCUGCAAACACGUAAGUGGACGUAUAGGGUGUGACGCCUCCCCGGUGCCGGAAGGUUAAUUGAUGGGGUUAUCUUCGGAGAAGCUCUUGAUCGAAGCCCCGGUAAACGGCGGCCGUAACAAUAACGGUCCUAAGGUAGCGAAAUUCCUUGUCGGGUAAGUUCCGACCUGCACGAAUGGCGUAACGAUGGCGGCGCUGUCUCCACCCGAGACUCAGUGAAAUUGAAAUCGCUGUUAAGAUGCAGUGUACCCGCGGCUAGACGGAAAGACCCCGUGAACCUUUACUAUAGCUUCACACUGGACUUUGACCUUAUUUGUGUAGGAUAGCUGGGAUGCUUUGAAGCGGUGGCGCCAGCCAUCGUGGAGCCGACCUUGAAAUACCAGCCUGGUAAUGUUGGGGUUCUAACCCAGACCUGUAAUCCAGGUCGGGGACAGUGUGUGGUGGGUAGUUUGACUGGGGCGGUCUCCUCCCAAAGAGUAACGGAGGAGCACGAAGGUUGGCUAAUCCUGGUCGGAAAUCAGGAGGUUAGUGUAAUGGCACAAGCCAGCUUGACUGCGAGACUGACAAGUCGAGCAGGUACGAAAGUAGGUCAUAGUGAUCCGGUGGUUCUGUAUGGAAGGGCCAUCGCUCAACGGAUAAAAGGUACUCCGGGAUAACAGGCUGAUACCGCCCAAGAGUUCACAUCGACGGCGGUGUUUGGCACCUCGAUGUCGGCUCAUCACAUCCUGGGGCUGAAGCCGGUCCCAAGGGUAUGGCUGUUCGCCAUUUAAAGUGGUACGCGAGCUGGGUUUAGAACGUCGUGAGACAGUUCGGUCCCUAUCUGCCGUGGGCGUUGGAGAAUUGAGGGAAGCUGCUCCUAGUACGAGAGGACCGGAGUGGACGAACCCCUGGUGUUCGGGUUGUCACGCCAGUGGCAUUGCCCGGUAGCUACGUUCGGACAGGAUAACCGCUGAAAGCAUCUAAGCGGGAAGCCCCUCCCAAGACUAGUUCUCCCUGGGACUUUACGUCCCCUGAAGGGCCGUCCAAGACCAGGACGUUGAUAGGCUGGGUGUGUAAGCGCUGUGAGGCGUUGAGCUAACCAGUACUAAUUGCCCGUGAGGCUUGACC